AGUGAACGCUGGCGGUAGGCCUAACACAUGCAAGUCGAACGGCAGCACAGUAAGAGCUUGCUCUUACGGGUGGCGAGUGGCGGACGGGUGAGGAAUACAUCGGAAUCUACUUUUUCGUGGGGGAUAACGUAGGGAAACUUACGCUAAUACCGCAUACGACCUACGGGUGAAAGCAGGGGAUCUUCGGACCUUGCGCGAUUGAAUGAGCCGAUGUCGGAUUAGCUAGUUGGCGGGGUAAAGGCCCACCAAGGCGACGAUCCGUAGCUGGUCUGAGAGGAUGAUCAGCCACACUGGAACUGAGACACGGUCCAGACUCCUACGGGAGGCAGCAGUGGGGAAUAUUGGACAAUGGGCGCAAGCCUGAUCCGGCCAUACCGCGUGGGUGAAGAAGGCCUUCGGGUUGUAAAGCCCUUUUGUUGGGAAAGAAGAGCAGCAGGUUAAUACCCCGCUGUUCUGACGGUACCCAAAGAAUAAGCACCGGCUAACUUCGUG
This 492-nucleotide ribosomal RNA is filed under the name uncultured bacterium. RNAcentral's name for it is "partial 16S ribosomal RNA". It matches the Rfam family "Bacterial small subunit ribosomal RNA", at positions 29 to 507 of the family's 1533-position model. The record is from RNAcentral.